AUGUAUAGUUCUCUAAAUGAACGACUAAAGAAUAUUUUGUUUGCUGCUAUUGCUCCCAGUUAUUACUAAUUUGGUCUGGAAUGAAGAGAACAAUGGGGAAGGAGUAAUUGGUAUAUUGGGGUUUCAGUGUGUAUUGCUAAAGCUAUUCUGUUGGGGGAACUGACCGGAAUUAGUGAAAAGUUUUGUCAGGUAAUAUUCAUUUUUCUACUUUCUAGAUUAUAUUUCACCAAUAUGUUCCCCUGCUUUAUUUGGACAUCCAAACAUUCUGCAAAUUCUAAUGUAACACAGUAUUGGGCAGCUAUGUAAUGAAUAAGUCGCAGUAUUAUUAUUCUAAUGUUCCCAUGCUAGCCUUAUUAUUUGCAUCUAUGUAAUGAAUAAGUCGCAGUAUUUAUUUAUCUCAAGGGAAAAUGGCAUUGCAAAGAUUUUUGCUACCUUCUCUCUUGAUAUCAGAAGUACCAUGUAGUAUUGGGCAGCUUCAAAGCUACAAAGUUGUAGUAUAUUUGUGCUACAGAAUAUCGAAAGCCAUACAGUUUUGGUCUGGGUAGUCUCAUAAAGAGAUCCAUUUACGUGUUCAAUGCCUAACACAUUCCGUCUUGUUUGAAUGUUUGCACUAUUCUUAUAACCCAAUGGAAGUUGCAUUUUUCCCAUCAUGUCAGCUAGAAGGGAAAAUUUAUUUGUAGUUUGAAGUUCCACAACAAAAAUGUAUAUAUGCAUGCACAUUCUUCCACCAAGAGAAGAAAAAACUCAGCAUCCAUCUUUCGUACAUGAGUUGAAUGUCUUAUACUGAAACUGAUCACGGUGUCGCAAGUAAAGCCUAAAUUUCAUAAAUUUCAUAAAAGUGUCGCAAGUAAAGAGCUUUUAGUUGAAGUUCACUAAAUUUCUUAUACCGACAUUUCAGGGAUAAUAGGACUGACCCAACUGUUACCGGUGCCAUGCUUUUGGGGUCGACCAAAACAUUUAAAAACGUUAAAUGUGGUUAUGUGAUAAUAACAUAUAAUGUAUUAUUUGUGUUCAUUCCUUUAAUGUGGAUUAUAACAUGAUCUACCUUUGCAUCAACAUCGAGGACUACUUUUGGUUCAUAUUCAUGUAGCCACUUCUCGAUUUUGAGAUUUUUCACAUGUACUCAACUUGUCUUAGUCAGCCCAACUCAGCUGUAUGCAUGACAUUUAUAAAGUGACUCCGUAAAAUUCAUAAAAGACACUAUUCGUUUAUUCUGUUCUUCUGUUUCUUCCAGAUUUUUCUCUCCUCGCUUAUAAUUCGAUACUGUUGAUUCGAUUAGAUGACUCGGUCGAUGAUGUUGGGCAUGUCCAUGGUAUCCAUUAAAAACCUUAAAAAAAGUCUUGCACGGGAAUAAAAUUAGAUAGCACACCACUUAUGAGUCGAAACAUAUGCCAGCCAAGAUGGUACCAUAAAACUAGUAGAUUAGGUCCAUUCCAGCCGCUAAUUCUUUGUGCCAAUGCUAAGUAUGUGAAGUUGCACUGACUUUUAGUUACAUCUGAUGAUCUUUCCACAAAAAAUGUAGUAUAGAGUGUAAUAUUUACAGUGUGGGGAUGUUGGUGGCCAAGAAAGUUUAUGCCCUUGUGGAGACAUUACUGUGAAGUCCUAAGUUAUCCUGUAAAAAGGAUUCUUAUGAUAAGCAUGUAAAGCAACUUCUGAACUUUUUUGUAGAUAUUUAAGUGCCAAUACCAUCUUUUGGUAUAACACAGAAAAAUCAAGUUUUGAGGCCAGAGAUUUACCUUGCUUUUGCAUGUGCAUUACUUUAGCUAAUCAACCUGCUGUCGAGCUUUUAGUUGAAGUUCACUAAAUUUCUUAUACCGACAUUUCAGGGAUAAUACGACUGACCCAACUGUUACCGGUGCCAUGCUUUUGGGGUCGACCAAAACAUUUAAAAACGUUAAAUGUGGUUAUGUGAUAAUAACAUAUAAUGUAUUAUUUGUGUUCAUUCCUUUAAUGUGGAUUAUAACAUGAUCUACCUUUGCUUCAACAUCGAGGACUACUUUUGGUUCAUAUUCAUGCAGCCACUUCUCGAUUUUGAGAUUUUUCACAUGUAUUGAACUUGUCUUAGUCAGCCCAACUCAGCUGUAUGCGUGACAUUUAUAAAGUGACUCCGUAAAAUUCAUAAAAGAGACUAUUCUUUUAUUCUGUUCUUCUAUUUCUUCUAGAUUUUGCUCUCCUCGCUUAUAAUUCGAUACUGUUGAUUCGAUUAGAUGACUCGGUCGAUGAUGUUGGGCAUGUCCAUGGUAUCCAUUAAAAAAUUUAAAAAAAGUCUUGCACCGGAAUAAUAGCACACCACUUAUGAGUCGAAACAUAUGCCAGCCAAGCCGGUACCAUAAAAUUAGUAGAUUAGGUCCAUUCCAGCUGCUAAUUCUUUGUGCCAAUGCUAAGUAUGUGAAGUUGCAUUGACUUUUAGUUACAUCUGAUGAUCUUUCCACAAAAAAUGUAGUAUAGAGUAAAAAUGUAGUAUAGAGUGUAAUAUUUACAGUGUGGGGAUGUUGGUGGCAAAGAAAGUUUAUGCCCUUGUGGAGACAUUACUGUGAAGUCCUAAGUUAUCCUGUAAAAAGGAUUCUUAUGAUAAGUUAUUCUGUAAAAAGGAUUCUUAUGAUAAGCAUGUAAAGCAACUUCUGAACUUUUUUGUAGAUAUUUAAGUGCCAAUACCAUCUUUUGGUAUAACGCAGAAAAAUCAAGUUUUGAGG
Molecule: long non-coding RNA, 2693 nt
Filed under: Triticum aestivum (bread wheat)
Lineage: Eukaryota; Viridiplantae; Streptophyta; Magnoliopsida; Poales; Poaceae
Description: long non-coding RNA (TAES_LNC006846)
Source: RNAcentral